UGGGGAAUAUUGGACAAUGGGGGCAACCCUGAUCCAGCAAUGCCGCGUGAGUGAUGAAGGCCUUCGGGUUGUAAAGCUCUUUUGCCAGGGACGAUGAUGACGGUACCUGGAGAAUAAGCCCCGGCUAACUUCGUGCCAGCAGCCGCGGUAAUACGAAGGGGGCUAGCGUUGUUCGGAAUUACUGGGCGUAAAGGGCGCGUAGGCGGUUUGAUUAGUCAGAUGUGAAAUUCCCGGGCUUAACCUGGGCGCUGCAUUUGAUACUGUCAGGCUUGAAUUCAGGAGAGGAUAGCGGAAUUCCCAGUGUAGAGGUGAAAUUCGUAGAUAUUGGGAAGAACACCGGUGGCGAAGGCGGCUAUCUGGACUGACAUUGACGCUGAGGCGCGAAAGCGUGGGGAGCAAACAGGAUUAGAUACCCCCGUAGUCC
RNAcentral lists this ribosomal RNA (424 nucleotides) under uncultured bacterium. RNAcentral's name for it is "bacterial SSU rRNA". It matches the Rfam family "Bacterial small subunit ribosomal RNA", at positions 355 to 796 of the family's 1533-position model. The record is from RNAcentral.